This 29-nucleotide non-coding RNA is filed under the name Mus musculus (house mouse). Lineage: Eukaryota; Metazoa; Chordata; Mammalia; Rodentia; Muridae. The record is from RNAcentral.
UGCAAACACAAUUGGUGAACGCUCUUUGU